AGUGAACGCUGGCGGUAGGCCUAACGCAUGCCAGUCGAACGGCAGCACAGUAAGAGCUUGCUCUUACGGGUGGCGAGUGGCGGACGGGUGAGGAAUACAUCGGAAUCUACUUUUUCGUGGGGGAUAACGUAGGGAAACUUACGCUAAUACCGCAUACGACCUACGGGUGAAAGCAGGGGAUCUUCGGACCUUGCGCGAUUGAAUGAGCCGAUGUCGGAUUAGCUAGUUGGCGGGGUAAAGGCCCACCAAGGCGACGAUCCGUAGCUGGUCUGAGAGGAUGAUAAGCCACACUGGAACUGAGACACGGUCCAGACUCCUACGGGAGGCAGCAGUGGGGAAUAUUGGACAAUGGGCGCAAGCCUGAUCCAGCCAUACCGCGUGGGUGAAGAAGGCCUUCGGGUUGUAAAGCCCUUUUGUUGGGAAAGAAAAGCAGCAGGUUAAUACCCCGCUGUUCUGACGGUACCCAAAGAAUAAGCACCGGCUAACUUCGUG
Molecule: ribosomal RNA, 492 nt
Filed under: uncultured bacterium
Lineage: Bacteria
Description: partial 16S ribosomal RNA
Rfam family: Bacterial small subunit ribosomal RNA
Source: RNAcentral